GCCUGGUGCGGUGGUACAAGCCUGUAGUUCCAACUAUUCAGGAGGCUGAGGCGGGAGGAUUGCUUGAGCCCAAGAGUUCUGGGCUAUAAUGCACUAUGUUGAUCAGGUGUCUGCACUGUUUGGCAUCAGUAUGGUGACCUCCCAGGAGUGGAGGACCACCAGGUUGCCUAAAGUGGGGUUAGUCAGGCCAGGUUGGAAACAGCAGGUCUAAACUCCAGUGCUGAUCAGUAGUGGGAUUGCACCUGUGAAUUGCCACUGCACUCCAGCUUGGGCAACAUAGCGAGACCCCGUCUCU
This 295-nucleotide signal recognition particle RNA is filed under the name Microcebus murinus (gray mouse lemur). RNAcentral's name for it is "Metazoan signal recognition particle RNA (ENSMICG00000034398.2)". It matches the Rfam family "Metazoan signal recognition particle RNA". From Rfam's summary of the family: The signal recognition particle (SRP) is a universally conserved ribonucleoprotein. It is involved in the co-translational targeting of proteins to membranes. Lineage: Eukaryota; Metazoa; Chordata; Mammalia; Primates; Cheirogaleidae. The record is from RNAcentral.